RNAcentral lists this ribosomal RNA (251 nucleotides) under uncultured bacterium. Its description in RNAcentral is "partial 16S ribosomal RNA". It matches the Rfam family "Bacterial small subunit ribosomal RNA", at positions 28 to 276 of the family's 1533-position model. The record is from RNAcentral.
GAUUAACGCUAGCGGCAGGCCUAAUACAUGCAAGUUGUACGGGAUUAUUGGUAGCAAUACUGAUAUGAGAGUAGCGCACGGGUGCGUAACACGUAUGCAACCUACCUUUAACUGGGGAAUAGCUCACCGAAAGGUGAAUUAACACCGCAUAAAAUCACAGAAGGACAUCCUUUAAUGAUUAAAUCUCCGGAGGUUAAAGAUGGGCAUGCGUCCGAUUAGCUAGUUGGCGGGGUAACAGCCCACCAAGGCAA